This 497-nucleotide ribosomal RNA is filed under the name uncultured bacterium. RNAcentral's name for it is "partial 16S ribosomal RNA". It matches the Rfam family "Bacterial small subunit ribosomal RNA", at positions 28 to 507 of the family's 1533-position model. The record is from RNAcentral.
GAUGAACGCUGGCGGCGUGCCUAAUACAUGCAAGUCGAGCGAACAGAUGAGGAGCUUGCUCCUCUGACGUUAGCGGCGGACGGGUGAGUAACACGUGGAUAACCUACCUAUAAGACUGGGAUAACUUCGGGAAACCGGAGCUAAUACCGGAUAAUAUAUUGAACCGCAUGGUUCAAUAGUGAAAGACGGUUUUGCUGUCACUUAUAGAUGGAUCCGCGCCGCUUUAGCUAGUUGGUAAGGUAACGGCUUACCAAGGCAACGAUGCGUAGCCGACCUGAGAGGGUGAUCGGCCACACUGGAACUGAGACACGGUACAGACUCCUACGGGAGGCAGCAGUAGGGAAUCUUCCGCAAUGGGCGAAAGCCUGACGGAGCAACGCCGCGUGAGUGAUGAAGGUCUUCGGAUCGUAAAACUCUGUUAUUAGGGAAGAACAAAUGUGUAAGUAACUAUGCACGUCUUGACGGUACCUAAUCAGAAAGCCACGGCUAACUACGUG